This 533-nucleotide ribosomal RNA is filed under the name Dothiora cannabinae. RNAcentral's name for it is "eukaryotic LSU rRNA". It matches the Rfam family "Eukaryotic large subunit ribosomal RNA", at positions 69 to 608 of the family's 3401-position model. Lineage: Eukaryota; Fungi; Ascomycota; Dothideomycetes; Dothideales; Dothioraceae. The record is from RNAcentral.
CAGGGAUUGCCCUAGUAACGGCGAGUGAAGCGGCAAUAGCUCAAAUUUGAAAGCUGGCCUUCUGGUCCGCAUUGUAAUUUGUAGAGGAUGCUUUUAGGCAGCCGCCGGUCUAAGUUCCUUGGAACAGGACGUCAUAGAGGGUGAGAAUCCCGUAUGUGACCGGCUCUGGCACCUUAUGUAAAGCUCCUUCGACGAGUCGAGUUGUUUGGGAAUGCAGCUCUAAAUGGGAGGUAAAUUUCUUCUAAAGCUAAAUACUGGCGAGAGACCGAUAGCGCACAAGUAGAGUGAUCGAAAGAUGAAAAGCACUUUGGAAAGAGAGUUAAAAAGCACGUGAAAUUGUUGAAAGGGAAGCGCUUGCAAUCAGACUUGGACUUGGCUGUUCAACCGGUCUUCUGACCGGCCUACUCAGUCUUGUCCAGGCCAGCAUCAGUUUCGGCGGCCGGAUAAAGGCCCUGGGAAUGUAGCUGCCUCUUCGGGGACAGUGUUAUAGCCCAGGGUGUAAUACGGCCAGCUGGGACUGAGGUCCGCGCUCG